CAGAUUCUCCUGGGGGUUAUUGAAACCAAAACGUCUUUGCGAAAUUGGAAAAGCGAUGUGAAAACACAGCAGACAGAAGAAAAAUGCACGAGGAAUUUCUCUCAGCUUCUGCUAGCGACCAAGUGGCUAUUGUCACUCCAAAUCAAACUCCUGCCAGGAGCCUUAAGUUAACUCAG
This is a long non-coding RNA of Fundulus heteroclitus (mummichog), 176 nucleotides long. RefSeq lists it as uncharacterized. The transcript is spliced from 3 exons. The record is from RefSeq and is a predicted model, not a curated record. Lineage: Eukaryota; Metazoa; Chordata; Actinopteri; Cyprinodontiformes; Fundulidae.